Molecule: ribosomal RNA, 1986 nt
Filed under: Triticum aestivum (bread wheat)
Lineage: Eukaryota; Viridiplantae; Streptophyta; Magnoliopsida; Poales; Poaceae
Description: partial small subunit ribosomal RNA
Source: RNAcentral
AUGCACUUUCUUGCUGCAGUUUGUGAUUCAGCAAUGGGACAGAUUGUGGACACCCCUUUCUUUACACUGGAACUUGAGCAUGGUGGGCUUUUCUGUGGACCAAGAAAUAACAUGGAGUACUAUAAUCCUUCUAUGGAGGUGAUUGACUAUGUUGAUGCUGGCACAUUCUCAUAUUCAGCUAUUGAAGAGCACUUGCUAUGGUUGGGAUAUCCUGUGGCUGAGCACAUAAUUUAUUGGUGCAUGCCUGACAAAAUGAUUUCAGAUGGUAUGUUGAGAAUUAGAGGUGAUGAGGAUGUGCAACACAUGAUUAGAGCUAGUAGUCAGCAUAAGGUGCUUGCACUAAUGGUUGACCAUGCAGAUUUCAUCAGUAAUUGCAGGGAAGAUUUGGUAUUGACAAUGCCAACAGUUCACAGUUCUGUUGUUGCAGCCAUGCAGAGGUCAAGUGUUGUUGCAGCCAGUGCAGCAUCUUCUCACAGCCUCAUUUCAGUAAAUGUUGAAGAGCCCAUUUCAGAGGUGGCAGCAGAUAACAUAGAAGCAGACAACUUGGUUGCUAAUGGAACAGAAACAGAGACUUUGCUAACUGAUGGUGCAGAGGAUGCAGUGCUCUCAGAUUCAGAGUUCAGUGAUAGUGAUUAUGACAUAGAUGAUGGAGAUGAUGAUUUAUAUGAAGACAAUAUUGAUUUUGAUGUUGAUGAAGAAGCUGAGCAAGUUGAGGAAGAGGUGGAGCCAGACUAUGUACUUGAGGAUGAAGAUCUAAACCUCUCUUUUGAAGAGCAAGAACAACUGAAAUACAAGUUCAAAGCUUUCAAUUCCAGGGUGGACAUGAAAUCCCCUAUAUUUAAAUUAGGGAUGGUAUUUGCUGAUGUGGUUGAGCUAAGGAAAGCCCUUACUGCUUAUUCCAUAAGGAACAGAGUGCAAAUCAAGAAGGUCAAGAAUGAUAAGAUGAGAUUAGAGGUUGUCUGUCAGAGAGGUUGCCCAUGGCUGCUUAAAGCUAGCAAGGACAACAUGACUGGAGGAUUUGUCAUCAAGGCCUACUUUGGAGAGCAUGUCUGUCAGAAAAAGUGGAAGUUGAAGGACUUGACAGCCAAGUUUCUUUGCCAGUUUUUCUUGGAUGAAUUCAGAGAUGACCAGAAGAUGUCACUUGGAACAUUUUCAAGGAAAAUUACUAAGGAAUUCAAUGUUACUCCUAACAGAUGGAAGCCUGCUAGGGCUAGAAAGCAAGCACUUAAUGAGAUUCAUGGUGAUGAGGAAGAGCAAUUCAGUAGGCUUUGGGACUAUGGACAAGAAUUGAGGACCAAAAACGCUGGGUCUACAUUUCUGCUCACAACUUCAGUGGUGAAAGAUACAAAAUUUCCAUUGGGCAGGAAAUGUUUGAAAACAUUGUACUGGUCAUAUGAUGCAUGUAAGAGAGGAUGGCUAAAGGGCUGCAGGCCAAUCAUUUUCAUUGAUGGUUGUCACAUGAAAACAAGGUUCAAAGGAGUGAUACUUAGUGCUGUUGGUAUUGAUCCCAAUGACUGCAUAUUCCCAAUUGCAAUGGGAUGGGUGGAAGUUGAGUGCACAGGUUCAUGGGAGUGGUUUCUGACCACUCUCAGAGAUGAUCUCAACAUCACUAACACUGCUCCUUUCACAAUCAUGAGUGACAAACAGAAAGGUUUAAUAAAUGCAGUGCACAAAGUUUGGCCAGAUUCAGAACACAGGUUUUGUGUCAGACAUAUUUAUCAGAAUUUCAAUGAGAAGCACAAAGGAGAGGUACUGAAGCAAGACUUGUGGGCAAUUGCAAGAUCUCCAAACAAAGUGAAGUGGAGAGAAAACUGUCAGAAAAUGGAUGACCACAGUUCAGCUGCUUUCCACUGGACUGAAAGACUAGAGUGGAAAACUUGGUGCAAAGCAUUUUUCAGUGAAUUCCCCAAAUGUGACAUCCUGCUCAACAAUAACUCUGAGGUUUUUAAUAGGUACUUUGGUGGUCAUUUUGCCAAAUUGUUUUGA